AACUUAUACCUUACUGUUGCCUCUGCGCAUGCUGGCCCCCUCGGGGCCCCCUGGAGACAGGGAGCAGGCACGCCGGCGGCCAAGUUAACUCUUGUUUUUACACUGAAACUCUGAGAAAAAACACAAAUGAAUCAAAACUUUCAACAACGGAUCUCUUGGUUCUGGCAUCGAUGAAGAACGCAGCGAAAUGCGAUAAGUAAUGUGAAUUGCAGAAUUCAGUGAAUCAUCGAAUCUUUGAACGCACAUUGCGCCCUCUGGUAUUCCGGAGGGCAUGCCUGUUCGAGCGUCAUUUCAACCCUCAAGCACUGCUUGGUGUUGGGGCACUGCUUUUACCCAAAAGCAGGCCCUGAAAUCUAGUGGCGAGCUCGCCAGGACCCCGAGCGCAGUAGUUAAAACCCUCGCUUUGGAAGGCCCUGGCGGUGCCCUGCCGUUAAACCCCCAACUUUUGAAAAUUUGACCUCGGAUCAGGUAGGAAUACCCGCUGAACUUAAGCAUAUCAAUAAGCGGAGGAA
Molecule: ribosomal RNA, 512 nt
Filed under: Diaporthe liquidambaris
Lineage: Eukaryota; Fungi; Ascomycota; Sordariomycetes; Diaporthales; Diaporthaceae
Description: eukaryotic LSU rRNA
Rfam family: 5.8S ribosomal RNA (bases 136-289)
Source: RNAcentral